AGAAUCUUCUCUGCAGUCCAUUAGCGAUGUGAUCCUAUUAACAAAAGACAAGAUUCACAAAUCAACUUUUCACUUCAUUACACGGACCAGAAUGAGUAAAUUACCCUGCCGGUAAACCAGCACAGGUACUGGAUCUGGCGUCAACAGUAACUUCCCUUCCCUCUUCCAACGACUUGUCUUCUGUGAUGACGUGUUUACUGGAGCGAGGACAGGACAACCUGUCACUCACAUGACAUCCGCAGCAAUAGCAAGAGUUAAUGAUCCAAUCAAUUCCCAAUGGACAAAAAUCAAGUCCUGCCCUACUCUCUUUUUUUCUUGUGCGAGAAGCUGUUUUACUCUGAAUAUAUGUCAUAACUUGAAGCUGCGCAGAGCAGAAAUAUAAUAAAAUGUAUAAAAUAGUACUGUGAGAGCCAUUUGGUAAAAUUCGCAUUCCAGGGGCUAACUAUCACAUUACUGGUGGCACUUCAACACACAAACAUGGAAAAACAACCCGCAGGGACAGCGUUAAAGUCAUAGAUAUAUACAUGUAGAUGCCUCAUUAGCGACUAUUUCUAUGGGCCGCUAUACGUAAGCCCUCCGCCAUAUUGUAGCGAUCUUGACUUGAUGUCAUUUACCAUAAUAAUCACUGAAUAUUCAAAUUAUGCCACAAUCUGCGAACCCAACUGCUCUGUUCAAACCUACAGCGUGGUGAAUGACAUCCUGUUCCAAGGUGGCGGAUGAAUCUACGUGCUUGGAGUCCAUGUUAAAAUGGGGUAAAAAAGACUGACUCAAGUGAAACUCCAUUUUAAAUUAAAAAAGACCACAAAUUUGUCCAUGUCUGGUGUUAUAUGCAUGGCUUGGAGCAGUCGAGCUCAAUCAUACAAAUUCAUAUUCAUACAAAUAUUUUUUGUACAUGAAUUUCUUCUGUUGAACACUGGUAGCCACUGACUUCCAUAGUUUUUUGUUUGUAUUUCAUUACAGUAGAAGUCAAUGGCUACCAGGAACUGCCUGGUUACCCACAUUUUUCAAAAUAUCUUCAUUUGUGCUCAUUAGUAGAAAGACAGUUGUAUAGAUUUGGAACAACAUGAGGGUGAGCAAACUAUAAUAAAUCUUCUUUUGGGGGUUUGCAAAAAUAUUUAAGUAUUACAUCAUUGAGAGCAAUGCAGUUUUUCUACACAGGCUGAUUAUUUUAUAAUGCAUGAAAAAAGUGAUCGGAUAGUUUCAACAAAAGCAUAGUUCAACUUGCAUAGCAAGUUAUUGUUAAAAGUCAACUUUCCUAUGAAGAAAACUAUUUUUUGGAGAAAAUCAUAUUAUUCAAAAUGGAAUCAUAGUAUUAUUAUUAUUAAUAUUAUUAUUAUAAUCAUCAUUAUUAUUAAUACAAUAUAAUAAAAAAAUAUAUAUUUUUUACAUUGUGAUUUACUUUUUUUGGAAUAACAAUUAUUACAAAAUAUCUUGCAGAUUCAGUACUUUUAAACUGUAAGAAAGAUCUGCUAUUAGGCUCAUCCCCCUAAACUGUAGCUGGAAUCAUUGAUUCAUAUAGUAGAGUAAGUAAUGACAGAAUAGUGUUUUUUGCCUAAAUUAUUCUUGAAAUAUAAAGACAGCAGUGCAUUAAAGCUGAGCAUGAAGGUUCCAUUUGUAAUGCAUUUAUUUUUCAUCUGUGAAUUAAUGCCCAGACAAACUGCAAUAGAGUCAGGUACAUGCACUAUAAACAGCUAUCUUGAGUGUGACCAGCACUGAUUUUGAACUGAUCUAUGUGCAUUUGAGCGCAUGUACUGUAUACGGAAUCGGUAGGAACAAUAUAUUUUCGUCGCGAGCCCUGCAUUUCUGUACGCCUAUACCCAGAAAAAUGAUUUUUGAACUCCGAGCACACAGAUCCUCAAGCCCCUCAGUGCCAUGGAAACAGCAUAUCUCCGAUAGCAACAGUGACCGUGGUGACAUUUGUGAUGUAACCUGAUGUUCUGUCAUUUCUGCAGUGGAGUGUUUUUAACUUUUUUUUUUUUUUUUUUUUUGUGUUUCUCCACAUCUCUAAUUGCAGCCCACUUGGAAGCAAGAAUGUGUUGUUGUCUUUAAAGAUGCAUAUUAAAAUCGCCUCAAAUGAUCUUUUGUCUGACAAAGGUGUGAACCUGGAGACCUGUAAAUUUAGCUGUCUCGCACAUAUUUUGCGAGACUUUUCAGUCGAGCCGCAGGCAGCAUAUGCACAGCCUGCUUGUUAUGUCACCAUUAAUGCUGAAAGGCACUAUUAAUAAUAUUUGGUUAUAGUGUGCGCAUGGAUUUGUGCAAUCUGACAUAAGAUUGUUGUUAUGCUGUUGAUGUGUCAUUGUACUCACUCUCCGACUAUCAUCCUGUCUUUUUUUUGCUUCGCUCACUCACUCAUGCACCCUGCUUUGCAAUCAAUAACUCAUCUUUCAGCGUCGAUUUUCCUCUUCCCCACAGGAAAACAAACGUCCUUCUACAGGACAAACAAAGGGGAGAGAGGGGGAAAGAGAUGAUGACACACCAGAAAGAGAGGACAGGAUGCGAGGCUUGAUCAUUGGAAAAUUACCGAUAACCCAGUAGAUAUACUGAAACUGAAACAUACUGUCAUUUAACGGGAAGGGAAAAGUGGGCCAGGGGCUGCUGGGGGAAGAUUGAAAGGGUAGUUAUGGGAUGGAUGAUUAGCCCUUGUCUCCAAGGUUACCCUUUACAACUGUAUCAGUGCAGAGCGGAUUGGAAGAGACGAGGCGGGGUUGUUUAGGGGACGGCAUAUGGAAGGGAUGGAGCUUAAGUCAGCACAGAGAUCAAAGACCUGUAUUGACCUACGGUACAGCUGCAUUAAUUUCAUAGAACUUGGGCUGCCAAAGAUAGACAGGUUUUAAGGCUCACAAAGUGAAAACGAUA
Puntigrus tetrazona (Sumatra barb) is the source of this 2856-nucleotide long non-coding RNA. RefSeq lists it as uncharacterized. The record is from RefSeq and is a predicted model, not a curated record. The transcript is spliced from 3 exons. NCBI's taxonomy places the organism in Eukaryota, Metazoa, Chordata, Actinopteri, Cypriniformes, Cyprinidae.